AUUAUUUUGGCAGAUUAGUGCGAUGGAUUUAGAAUCUUUAUAUGUAAAAUUUUACAAAUAAUA
This 63-nucleotide transfer RNA is filed under the name Erotylidae sp. BMNH 1274392. RNAcentral describes it as "tRNA-Leu". The record is from RNAcentral. Lineage: Eukaryota; Metazoa; Arthropoda; Insecta; Coleoptera; Erotylidae.